UGCAAGUCGAGCGGAAACGAGUUAUCUGAACCUUCGGGGGACGAUAACGGCGUCGAGCGGCGGACGGGUGAGUAAUGCCUAGGAAAUUGCCCUGAUGUGGGGGAUAACCAUUGGAAACGAUGGCUAAUACCGCAUGAUGCCUACGGGCCAAAGAGGGGGACCUUCGGGCCUCUCGCGUCAGGAUAUGCCUAGGUGGGAUUAGCUAGUUGGUGAGGUAAGGGCUCACCAAGGCGACGAUCCCUAGCUGGUCUGAGAGGAUGAUCAGCCACACUGGAACUGAGACACGGUCCAGACUCCUACGGGAGGCAGCAGUGGGGAAUAUUGCACAAUGGGCGCAAGCCUGAUGCAGCCAUGCCGCGUGUGUGAAGAAGGCCUUCGGGUUGUAAAGCACUUUCAGUCGUGAGGAAGGUAGUGUAGUUAAUAGCUGCAUUAUUUGACGUUAGCGACAGAAGAAGCACCGGCUAACUCCGUGCCAGCAGCCGCGGUAAUACGGAGGGUGCGAGCGUUAAUCGGAAUUACUGGGCGUAAAGCGCAUGCAGGUGGUUUGUUAAGUCAGAUGUGAAAGCCCGGGGCUCAACCUCGGAAUAGCAUUUGAAACUGGCAGACUAGAGUACUGUAGAGGGGGGUAGAAUUUCAGGUGUAGCGGUGAAAUGCGUAGAGAUCUGAAGGAAUACCGGUGGCGAAGGCGGCCCCCUGGACAGAUACUGACACUCAGAUGCGAAAGCGUGGGGAGCAAACAGGAUUAGAUACCCUGGUAGUCCACGCCGUAAACGAUGUCUACUUGGAGGUUGUGGCCUUGAGCCGUGGCUUUCGGAGCUAACGCGUUAAGUAGACCGCCUGGGGAGUACGGUCGCAAGAUUAAAACUCAAAUGAAUUGACGGGGGCCCGCACAAGCGGUGGAGCAUGUGGUUUAAUUCGAUGCAACGCGAAGAACCUUACCUACUCUUGACAUCCAGAGAACUUUCCAGAGAUGGAUUGGUGCCUUCGGGAACUCUGAGACAGGUGCUGCAUGGCUGUCGUCAGCUCGUGUUGUGAAAUGUUGGGUUAAGUCCCGCAACGAGCGCAACCCUUAUCCUUGUUUGCCAGCGAGUAAUGUCGGGAACUCCAGGGAGACUGCCGGUGAUAAACCGGAGGAAGGUGGGGACGACGUCAAGUCAUCAUGGCCCUUACGAGUAGGGCUACACACGUGCUACAAUGGCGCAUACAGAGGGCGGCCAACUUGCGAAAGUGAGCGAAUCCCAAAAAGUGCGUCGUAGUCCGGAUUGGAGUCUGCAACUCGACUCCAUGAAGUCGGAAUCGCUAGUAAUCGUGGAUCAGAAUGCCACGGUGAAUACGUUCCCGGGCCUUGUACACACCGCCCGUCACACCAUGGGAGUGGGCUGCAAAAGAAGUAGGUAGUUUAACCUUCGGGGGGACGCUUACCAC
RNAcentral lists this ribosomal RNA (1425 nucleotides) under Vibrio neocaledonicus. RNAcentral's name for it is "bacterial SSU rRNA". It matches the Rfam family "Bacterial small subunit ribosomal RNA". Lineage: Bacteria; Pseudomonadati; Pseudomonadota; Gammaproteobacteria; Vibrionales; Vibrionaceae. The record is from RNAcentral.